RNAcentral lists this unclassified non-coding RNA (2437 nucleotides) under Leishmania donovani. RNAcentral describes it as "gene:LdHU3.19.1340(CDS-product:proteasome_regulat ory_non-ATP-ase_subunit_9_putative)". The record is from RNAcentral. Lineage: Eukaryota; Euglenozoa; Kinetoplastea; Trypanosomatida; Trypanosomatidae.
CUCUCUUUCCCUUUCUCUUUUCCACCCACGCUGACGCGUCAGCAGAAACAAGCUCCUCCCCCUCCCCUCAGCAACGGCUCCUCGAGCUUGAGCAGACGCACUCCCUCUCCCACAUAACCCUUUGGGCCUUUUCGUGUUGUCUCUCCUGCCACGAUACGCAUCAAGCCGCAGACACGCGAAAAUCAUGUCGACUCCAGAGGCCCGCGCACAGGUCUACCUGGUCAACCUCCGCAGCAGGCUGGAGGAGAAGAACAAUGCCAGCGCCGCUGCCACGGUGUCGCGCGCGCUCGACUACUUUGAGCAACGCUUCUGGUAUGAGCUGUCAAGUGAAUUGCUGCAGCUGAUCCGUGACCCGAUGGUGCUGGAGGACGCGUACGAGCUGUACGCGGACGUUAUUGUGGCCGUACGGGCUGACAUCUCGCCUAUCGCAUACGUCAUGAUUGUUCGCUCCGUCUGCUUCGCUCCGCAUAGCACGACGCAGAAGGCGCUGGAGCUUGUCGAGGGCGCGUGCGCCUCUCUCAUCCAUAGCAGCUCGGAGCAGGGGCACUACGCUGCCUUGUGCAUCCGUGCCCUCCUGCUACUCGAGAGCACGAGCCCCGAGGAGAGCGCGGCGCUGGCGGCGGUGCCUGGGUCGCCGCCGCACACGGCACGCAAGUUACUGGAGCAGACCGAGAUGUACCUGCACGGCCUCAAGAUGCACGAGGUGGAGCCGGUGCUGGUCGCGCUGUACGGCAUGGCACGCGGUCGUGACUACGAGAUCCGGCGCCAGCACACGAGUUACUACAAAAACGCGUUCGACAUCAUUAUCUUUUUGGAGAAGGCGGACCUGCCCAUGCGCGACGAGGACGUCACCGCGCUGGCGUACAAGACCGUGGUCGCCGGCCUGCUCUCAGACAAAAUCUUCAACUUCGGCAAGCUGCUCAACUUCGACCAAUUUGUGUCCCGGCUGCAACGGGAGUCGUGCCCGCAGCGCUGGGCGCUGGAGAUGAUGCGGCUGUGCAACGAAGGCGACGUGGCCAACUUCGAGGCCUUUUUCCGGCAGCACCAGCAGCAGAUUUCACAGGAGCCCCAGCUCGUGAGCGCGUCGGCGACGCUGCACCGAAAGGUGCGGCUCAUGGCGCUGCUGCAUCUCAUCUUCUACACCCCUUUGAGCGAGCGCACCUUUGCCUUUCACGCGGUGGCGCAGCGGUGCGGUGUCCCGGAUAGCGGGGCGGAGCCGCUGUUGCUCGAGGCGCUCGCUCACGGCAUUAUCAAGGGCCGGAUGGACGGCUUGAAGAGGGAGGUGCGCAUUACGUGGGUGGAGUCGCGUGUGCUGAGCCUUGAGGAGGUGAAGGCGUUGGCGCAGCAUGUGUCGCAGUGGCGAGAGCAGGUCGUGGGGCUCACGAACUCGGUGAAGGAGAUGACAAAGAAGAUCCCGCAGUAGGAAGCACGAGACGAGGCCAUGCAGACGCUAUCUGCGAGGAUAACGACAAAAAGAGGAGGGGUGGAGGAAGGGGGCGUCAGCGGCGCACCUUCCCCCUUCCUCCCGGCACUGUUGCCGUUGUAAGCGGUGCGAGAGGAUGCAGUUGGUCAUGUCGUUCGUUGUCGUCCUUGUGAUGGGGAGGUCGUUGCCGUCUCCUCCUGUCCCAUGUGCUCGACGCUCUCGGCCUCCGACUCACCCUUGUUCGCGGCACUGUGCGUGCACGUGUGCGUUGUUGUUGAUUUAUUCGCUCUUGUCCGCCGCUGCCGCUGCCGCCGCUGCCCCAUUCGCUCGUUCCGGUGCGUGCAGGGCGGUGGAGCCUUCGUACGCGCGUUGCGCAUUAACGGAUGCGCAUGCGGGGCAAUGUAUGUGGGUGGGUGCGUUUUUCGAGAAGAUGCGACGCGCGCGUGCGAAAGGAAGAGAGAGAGAGAGAAACGAUGGAUGACGAGUGCACCGAAUCCACGCCCACGGAGGCCGCAGACAGGACAUAUAUGCGCGCCUGCUUCACAUCCGCAAGGCAGGCCCACCCUUGUUGCCUCUCCCUGCCGCCGCAGCCCCACCUUCCUCCUCCCCAGCACUGCAUAUUCCCCCCCUUCAUUUUUUCGCAUGCGUGUGUGCCAUGUUCGUGUCGUCUGUUUGUUGUCAGUGCGCCUUCCUGUGUAUGUAGUUGGAUCGCACGCAAGCGAACGGAGCGAACCAGAAACGUGAAGGAGAGGAGGAGGAGGGGGAGGGAGGGGCGGUGAAGUUCAGCUCCUCAGCCUCACCACCCUCCUCUCUCUUCAAGCUGCUCAUGAGAUAGCAUCCUCUUCUCCGCCUCUUACUCAUGGCACGCAUAGGUUGAGGGGAUAAGACAGGCAAACGUGGCUACGCACGGCCGGCGCAGUGCUGCUGCCACGUCAGUGGUGCUGUUCUUGCUGCCAAAAUACCCUUCCUUUACGCGUCUCUCUCCUUGCUUUCUGAAUUCCUUCUCUUCUUCAG